This 337-nucleotide unclassified non-coding RNA is filed under the name soil metagenome. Its description in RNAcentral is "partial contains 5.8S ribosomal RNA, internal transcribed spacer 2, and large subunit ribosomal RNA". The stretch from base 1 to 120 matches the Rfam family "5.8S ribosomal RNA", at positions 35 to 154 of the family's 154-position model. The record is from RNAcentral.
GAUGAAGAACGCAGCGAAAUGCGAUAAGUAGUGUGAAUUGCAGAAUUCAGUGAAUCAUCGAAUCUUUGAACGCACAUUGCGCCCCUUGGUAUUCCAUGGGGCAAGCCUGUUCGAGCGUCAUUUGUACCUUCAAGCUCUGCUUGGUGUUGGGUGUUUGUCUCGCCUCUGCGUGUAGACUCGCCUCAAAACAAUUGGCAGCCGGCGUAUUGAUUUCGGAGCGCAGUACAUCUCGCGCUUUGCACUCAUAACGACGACGUCCAAAAGUACAUUUUUACACUCUUGACCUCGGAUCAGGUAGGGAUACCCGCUGAACUUAAGCAUAUCAAUAAGCGGAGGA